RNAcentral lists this ribosomal RNA (448 nucleotides) under uncultured bacterium. Its description in RNAcentral is "bacterial SSU rRNA". It matches the Rfam family "Bacterial small subunit ribosomal RNA", at positions 29 to 508 of the family's 1533-position model. The record is from RNAcentral.
AAUCAACGCUGGCGGCGCGCUUAACACAUGCAAGUCGAACGAGAAAGGGGGGCAACCCCUGAGUAAAGUGGCGCACGGGUGAGUAACACGUGGGUAAUCUGCCUCUGGGUGGGGAAUAACUCUGGGAAACCGGAGCUAAUACCGCAUAAGCUCGAAAGAGGAAAGGUGAAAAUCGCCGAGAGAGGAGCCCGCGGUCGAUUAGCCUGUUGGUGGGGUAAAGGCUCACCAAAGCUGAGAUCGAUAGCCGGCCUGAGAGGGCACACGGCCACACUGGCACUGAAACACGGGCCAGACUCCUACGGGAGGCAGCAGUGGGGAAUCUUGCACAAUGGGGGAAACCCUGAUGCAGCGACGCCGCGUGAGCGAUGAAGCCCUUCGGGGUGUAAAGCUCUUUCGGCAGGGACGAUAAUGACGGUACCUGAAGAAGAAGCUGCGGCUAACUACGUGC